CAAUAAUAUAUAUUGUAUAUAAAUGCUAGCAUAGGGUAUGAGGUAGAGUAAGUGUACGGCAGUGCAGUGGCGGUGGGUGCAAUUGGUCGAGGGUUUCUGCAGGUAGACCGGGUAGAGAGACUACAGCAGCGUCGCAUGGCGAAGAUAGUCUAGAUUAGGAGAGAAAGAAAAAGAACAGAGUGAGUGGGUUAUUAUAGGCAUUAGCAAUGUGAUAAGAAAGGAGAGGGAGAGAGAGAGAGAGAGAGAGAGGCUGCCUGGCUGGGUGUAUGGGGAUUUUAUUUAGUAUUUAGUUGGCUGGUGACAGUCGCAAUACGCGCCGUGUGCUGUACCCGGGAUCUUCCGCACUCCUUCACGGUACAACAUACGCUGUCUGUAGCCCAGUUAUGUUGAUUAGGGGGGUAUUGCAUGUGUUUUAGAUGUGUUUAGCUAUUCUGGCAUUUAGCAUUUAGUUUGGUUUGGCAUUUAGUUUGGUUUAGCAUUAGUUAUGUUUAGUUAUGCUGCCAUUUAGCAAUUAGUUUGGUUUGGUACAUGUGGAGAUUUUAGUCGUAAGCUUUGUUAGGGUUGCAGGGUACAACAUACGCUGUCUGUAGCCCAGUGAUAUACAUUUUUUAUUUAUUUAUUUAUUUUUCUUAUGUGUUCAGUUAUGUCUAGUUAUGCUUGCUGACUGGCUGGCCCAGCAGGUGAUGGGUUUGUUGACGCAAUUACUUAUGGCUAUUUAGUAAAUUCACCCCCAACAUUUCAACAUCUUAUGCAGCUUGUACUACAGGGACUGUCUUGGAAAACAUGCUUAGUGUACCUUGACGAUAUAAUUGUGUACAGUAAGACCUUCUCUGCUCAUCUGCUGCAUUUGAAGGAGGUGUUUGAACGUCUCAGAGCUGCAAACCUUAAAUUGAAACCGUCAAAGUGUGACUUUGUGCAAUCUCAGGUGACAUUCUUAGGACAUGUUGUAUCUGCUUCAGGUGUGCAACCAGACCCAAAGAAUAUUGACAAAGUGAGGGAUUGGCCAACACCUGAGAAUCCUACUGAGGUUAGGGCAUUCUUG
This is a long non-coding RNA of Clupea harengus (Atlantic herring), 1042 nucleotides long. NCBI's taxonomy places the organism in Eukaryota, Metazoa, Chordata, Actinopteri, Clupeiformes, Clupeidae. The record is from Ensembl.